GCGGCGGUAGCAUAGUUGGUCUAAUGCGGGAGUCUUGAAAACUUCUGAGGGUUAAACCUCCAUCCGUUCGAAUCGGAUUCGCCGCG
RNAcentral lists this transfer RNA (86 nucleotides) under Caudoviricetes sp. RNAcentral describes it as "tRNA-Ser". It matches the Rfam family "tRNA". From Rfam's summary of the family: Transfer RNA (tRNA) molecules are approximately 80 nucleotides in length. Their secondary structure includes four short double-helical elements and three loops (D, anti-codon, and T loops). Lineage: Duplodnaviria; Heunggongvirae; Uroviricota; Caudoviricetes. The record is from RNAcentral.